RNAcentral lists this ribosomal RNA (468 nucleotides) under uncultured bacterium. RNAcentral's name for it is "partial 16S ribosomal RNA". It matches the Rfam family "Bacterial small subunit ribosomal RNA", at positions 28 to 507 of the family's 1533-position model. The record is from RNAcentral.
GACGAACGCUGGCGGCGUGCUUAACACAUGCAAGUCGAACGGAAAGGCCCUGCUUUUGUGGGGUGCUCGAGUGGCGAACGGGUGAGUAACACGUGAGUAACCUGCCCUUGACUUUGGGAUAACUUCAGGAAACUGGGGCUAAUAUCGGAUAGGAGCUACUGCUGCAUGGUGGGGGUUGGAAAGUUUCGGCGGUUGGGGAUGGACUCGCGGCUUAUCAGCUUGAUGGUGGGGUAGUGGCUUACCAAGGCUUUGACGGGUAGCCGGCCUGAGAGGGUGACCGGCCUCAUGGGGACUGAGAGACGGCCCAGACUCCUACGGGAGGCAGCAGUGGGGAAUAUUGCACAGUGGGCGGAAGCGUGAUACAGCAACGCCGCGUGCGUGAUGCCGGCCUUCGGGUUGUGAACCGCUUUCGCCGGUGACGAAGCGUUAGUGACGGUAAUUGGUAAAGAAGCACCGGCUAACUACGUG